CAUAGGCGGCUGCAGAAACACUGAAGAUAGACGACGGUUCCAUUAACGGCAACUCUCCAGAUUCCACAGGAGGAAAGUUUUGCCGGCCCGGAAAAAAACAACAACAAAAAAACGGUGGAUAUCAUUUCCUUUUAGGAAGCAUCUGCGCCACACCAGACCAAAGAACUACAGACUCUUCACAACAUGCUCAAACUCUUGGUACAGGACCUCACCACACGGGUCAAGAAGGUUUCCUUCUCAUUUCUACUCUGAAGCUCACCUUUUCCUGCUCAAACUGCUGGCAAAUGUUUGUGCUGCUCUAAAGUCUGGUCUCCAGAACUUCCUAAAAACUCUCAAAGUCUCUUCUGCUGCAGGUUGCUUUGUAGAACUGUUCCAGAAAACCUCACUAAACCACAUGGAGGGGCCUCAAGAUAGUCGUCCAAAUGAAACCGUACAAAAACCAAACUAGCACAACCCAAACGCUAAAGUCUCCUGCAGCCUACCAGAGAACCUCUUUAAACAGAAUCAGGACAGGAACUCUUACCUUCUGCACAACCAGCAUUGGUUCACAAACAAGAAUACAGAAUGUGUCUGACCAAAAACCUCUGAAGACUCACUACAGCCAAGAUAAAGACACAACUCAGCUGCACCACAUCCACUAAUCACUGCACACAUUAGCAGCAUGUGCUAAUUGUGGCUAAAGAACCACAUUUACCAAGACAACUAUCCAGUACAAAGCACUAAAACACACCAAGAAACACAUUAAAGAUGAUUUUAUUGCUGGAAGCUGCAAGCUAACGCCUAAAGAACAAACUAAAGCAACAGAGCCCAGUUCAGUGGUGAAGAGAAGCAGAGGAAAUGUUUGACUGCAGACAUAAAGCAGUAAGACAGUGAGCUGCUCAGGUGUUCCUGAUAACACCAAGCAGCCACCUGGACAGCCAAUAGGAACACAGCAUACCGAAGUCCAGAGGGCUGGCUUAGUGAAGUAAAUUUAGUUAAAGCUGAAGCAGAAAGUUCACAAAAAAAGUUGAAAUCACCUUCUGAUACCUGAAAUCUCUGAGUUUUCACACAAAGAAUGCCUGAACAUGUCAUACUGGUUCCAUAGUAGAACCACCAUUGUAAAAACAUCAUAGUAUGGUGUGUUUCUCAAAAAAACAUUAUGACCGGUCUAGGGUUGGGGUUGCACAGUGGAUUGUGGUUAGCACUUUUGCCUUGCAGCAAGAAGAUCCCUGGUUCAAAUCCUGGUCUGGGCCUGGGAUCUUUCUGCAUGGAGUUUGCAUGUUCUCCCUGUGCAUGUGUGGGUUUUCUCCGGGUACUCCGGCUUCCUCCCACAGUCCAAAAAUAUGCUGAGGUUAAUUGAUUACUCUAAAUUGCCCGUUGCUGUGAGAGUGAUUGUUUGUCUGUAUAUGUAGCCCUGUUACAGACUGGCGACCUGUCCAGAAAACAGAGUUUCACAAACACGGGUUCUCAUAGGAAUGAAUACACUUUUGGUUAAGUCUUAUACGUGCACGGAUGUCUGUGGAAACCUGUCAGAAUACUCACACUGGAGAAUGCUGGUUCUCCUGGAUCAAAGUUCUAUUGUCCUUGUCUGAUGCUGAUCUUCUUGAACCUAAUCAUGCAGAUUUUGUAGUCCUUUCAAAGUGGAAGCCUUUAUGUCAACAUCACAGAUGGGAAAAAUCUUAAUUUCAAAACAAAAACUUGGCUUUCAUAAUGUAAAUGCCAAUGUAGUUUAGCUAGAUAGAAUGUAAUUUUGUGCAAAACAAGUGAGAUAAGCAGUCGACACCAGGGUGGAGCAUUUUCACCUUGAAGCUGCAGUGUACUGACGACAAUCUCAAAAAUAUGGAUUCAGACUUCCAGGGUAUUACUUACCAAACCUAAAGAAACCAAUCAACUUGUCUUUCUGUGAUGCCAUUAUCCUUCUUCAGAUUCAGUUUCCCCUUGUAACACGUACAGCUGAAUUACAACUUGCCAGUGCAGUGUGGAGUAGUUUUACAGCAUUGGAGCAGAUUCAUGGGAGAGCUGGUGUGCUUGAGCUGCACCAAAUAGAGAAGGCUGCAUUAAGACUCUGUAGAUCUAUACAUUCUAGCAGAAGCAACGAUGUAGAGUUACAUCUAAUCCAUUUUAAGACAGGACGGGAUCAUUUUGAUGGAAGAAAACUUCUAAUUAUGUAACUUUGGAUUCUGUGUUCCAAGAUGUUUCCCCUUUAAUUCCAAAGUAAGUUGUUCACUGGAGACAUUCUGGGCAUGUUUGAGCUUGUAGAAUGCUGGAGUCCUUCCUUGGCUGAGCUACUUGAAAGCAGACAUGUACAUUAGUUGUAGAGCCAGCUGACCUCCCGUUAGCUCCCUGCAUGAAUUAAAUAACAUACUGGUGCAACUCUUUGAAACUCUGAGGCAAAUUUUAUUGGAUUAAAUCACUCAACGUCUCAUAACAUUAAAAGCAAUUUUAUGGCAUUUGUACAAAUGGAAAAAAAAUGUGUCCACCGUUUUACACCAGUUGCUUUUGUAAUGAUUGAGAUAAAGUCUUUAGGAGCCGUGUGACCUAAAACACCUCGAAGUUUAGUGCUGUUCGCUGGGACUUCAGUUAAUUUUCGUUUUUGUAAGCCAGUUGCAUGGACGUAGAUUUUAGAUGGGGGCACAGGUAAAUAAAUCUCCUUCAGUAUUAAACGCCAAAUAAAAACAUGAAAGAAUGAAAUCCUUUUCAGACUGCUGGCAGUCGGCUGCACAUAGGAAUUUCACUUUGGUGCAACAUCAGUGCAUUCCAGUCUGUGCUGUGAAUACUUUGUGCCUUUAAAAGACCCUGCACAACAUCUUUUUUUCCCAACAAGUACAAGAAUCUGAGCAAUAUUAAAGUUUUCCUACAUAUAUAUUAACCCUGUGAAAUAUUGGUCCUUUUCCACAUUCACAGGAAUCUGUGCAAUACCAACAUUGGUAAUCUAUAUUUUUUUGCUUUUGUUUAUUUUCCACUGAUAUCCCUAUGCUUUGCACUAUCCUCUUCUGCUGCUAUAAGACUGCGAAUUCCCCCACUGUCUUAUCUGAAGGACUUUUGCUGUUUACUCGUAAAUGCAACAUUGCUGCCAACAAAGACGAGUCUUCAUUCAUUCCCUUGGGGAAAUUCAAUGUAUCCAGCAGCUCACAUGUGUUUCAGACAGAUAGAUAAAGGAACAAUGUAGAAAAAAGCAUGUAACUGGCAUGCAAAUCAUGCUAGAUGUAGAAAUAGCAAUAAGGUACCUAAAAUGCUGGUAUUGACAGAAGUGUAGAACAAAAUUGCAAAUUGGUAGUAUUUGCAAUAAAAAUAGAAUAUUAUAAGAGUAGAGAUGCACAUACUGCAAAGAUGCUGUAUCACUUCUCCAAACAAAAGCCACAAAGGAAGACAGGCAAGUAAAUAACGUGUGUCAUCUCAUGAAGGAUGACGUUAAAUCAGAAAAUUUGAUCCACAGGAGAGUAAAUAUUUGAAAAUAAUGCAGAAUGCCGGAGUCUCUCUGCAUUAUGUUCCAUUUUAUUUCAAAAUCUCACUUCAAAUCUUAAA
Long non-coding RNA from Acanthochromis polyacanthus (spiny chromis), 3504 nucleotides. RefSeq lists it as uncharacterized. NCBI's taxonomy places the organism in Eukaryota, Metazoa, Chordata, Actinopteri, Pomacentridae. The transcript is spliced from 3 exons. The record is from RefSeq and is a predicted model, not a curated record.